Molecule: ribosomal RNA, 24 nt
Filed under: Trichocentrum oerstedii
Lineage: Eukaryota; Viridiplantae; Streptophyta; Magnoliopsida; Asparagales; Orchidaceae
Description: partial 18S ribosomal RNA
Source: RNAcentral
GGGGGGGUUGCGGAAGGAUCAUUG